AACGCACAUUGCGCCCUUUGGUAGUCCUUAGGGCAUGCCUGUUCGAGCGUCAUUUUAACCCUCAAGCUCAGCUUGGUGAUGGGCGCCUGUCCCCCCAGGGACUCGCCUCAAAUGAAUUGGCAGCCGGUAUGUUUGGCUUCGAGCGCAGCAGAAACGCGUCUCCAGUCUAGGUACCUGGCUCUCCAGCAAGUCUCACCCCAAUUUUGACCUCGGAUCAGGUAGGGAUACCCGCUGAACUUAA
Molecule: unclassified non-coding RNA, 241 nt
Filed under: uncultured fungus
Lineage: Eukaryota; Fungi
Description: partial contains 5.8S ribosomal RNA, internal transcribed spacer 2, and large subunit ribosomal RNA
Source: RNAcentral